UCCAUGGGCCAUACCCCCCUGAACCCGUCCAAUCUCAUCUGAUCUUGGAAGCUGAGGCCUGGUUAGUACUUGGAUGACAGACCUCAUUGGACUACCAGGUGUUGGGGGAA
Molecule: ribosomal RNA, 110 nt
Filed under: Jaculus jaculus (lesser Egyptian jerboa)
Lineage: Eukaryota; Metazoa; Chordata; Mammalia; Rodentia; Dipodidae
Source: RNAcentral